Cyprinodon variegatus (sheepshead minnow) is the source of this 465-nucleotide long non-coding RNA. RefSeq lists it as uncharacterized. Lineage: Eukaryota; Metazoa; Chordata; Actinopteri; Cyprinodontiformes; Cyprinodontidae. The transcript is spliced from 3 exons. The record is from RefSeq and is a predicted model, not a curated record.
CCGCCUUUUUAUUAGGUAACCUCCUGAUACGACCUGUUACAGACCUCCUGUUACAACCCGUUACAUCCUGUUUUAUUGGGUUACCUCCUGUUACGACCCGUUACAGCCUGUUUUAUUAGGUUACCUCCUGUUACGACCCGUUACAGCCCGUUUUAUUUGGGUUACCUCCUGUUAUGACCCGUUACCGCCCGUUUUGUUUGGGUUACCUCCUGUUACCGCCUUUUUAUUAGGUUACCUCCUGUUACGACCCGUUACAGCCUGUUUUAUUAGGUUACCUCCUGUUACAACCCGUUACAGCCCAUUUUAUUAGGUUACUUCCUGUUACGACCCGUUACAGCCUGUUUUAUUAGGUUACCUCCUGUUACGACCAGUUACAGCCUGUUUUAUUAGGUUACCUCCUGUUAUUGUAUUAUUCUGUUAUCUCCUAUUUAUCCGUCAGUGUCUUUCCUGUAAUAAACCAACUUU